RNAcentral lists this ribosomal RNA (253 nucleotides) under uncultured bacterium. Its description in RNAcentral is "partial 16S ribosomal RNA". It matches the Rfam family "Bacterial small subunit ribosomal RNA", at positions 524 to 776 of the family's 1533-position model. The record is from RNAcentral.
UACGUAGGGUGCAAGCGUUGUCCGGAAUUAUUGGGCGUAAAGAGCUCGUAGGCGGUCUGUCGCGUCUGCUGUGAAAACUCGGGGCUUAACCCCGAGCCUGCUUCCGAUACGGGCAGACUAGAGGUAUGCAGGGGAGAAUGGAAUUCCUGGUGUAGCGGUGAAAUGCGCAGAUAUCAGGAGGAACACCGGUGGCGAAGGCGGUUCUCUGGGCAUUACCUGACGCUGAGGAGCGAAAGUGUGGGGAGCGAACAGG